RNAcentral lists this non-coding RNA (180 nucleotides) under Andreesenella acetica. Its description in RNAcentral is "Clostridium aceticum 6S / SsrS RNA". It matches the Rfam family "6S / SsrS RNA". From Rfam's summary of the family: E. coli 6S RNA was the first non coding RNA to be sequenced, but its function was unknown until recently. It consists of 184 nucleotides that fold into an extended hairpin structure with a large single-stranded internal bulge. The record is from Rfam by way of RNAcentral. Lineage: Bacteria; Bacillati; Bacillota; Clostridia; Peptostreptococcales; Natronincolaceae.
GAUCAUCGAGGAUGCACGUUGACUUUAGCGAAAUUCAACCGACAAAUAACAUCCGGGAGAACAUAUUUUUUAUUCCUAUGAAACGCCACUUUAGGUGGACUUCAGAAGAAUAAAAUGUGUCACCCACUUUGAGUGAGUGGCGGGUGUGAAUUUUGCAGUUGACGACAUCUUGGAUAAAAA